GCCGCUGCAAUGGAUGACUAGGCUCUCGUGUCGAGGAAGGACGCGGCAGAACGCGAUAGCUCACGUGACCAAGCAGGACGAGCGUGAGUGUCCGAACGCAAAUUGCGCCGCUUGACGGCAUGCUUCUUUGAGGGCAGC
This 138-nucleotide ribosomal RNA is filed under the name Haplosporidium littoralis. RNAcentral's name for it is "5.8S ribosomal RNA". It matches the Rfam family "5.8S ribosomal RNA". From Rfam's summary of the family: 5.8S ribosomal RNA (5.8S rRNA) is a component of the large subunit of the eukaryotic ribosome. Lineage: Eukaryota; Endomyxa; Ascetosporea; Haplosporida; Haplosporidiidae. The record is from RNAcentral.